GGCAAAUGUCCCUAAAGAAAUGUAAAAGAAGAAGUUGGUCUAGCACUCAAAGUAACACAAAGAAUACAGAAAAUCUUCUUAUUAUAUUAAUGUCAAAAACAACCCAUUUACUUGUUUUCAAGAGAGUUCUUCACAUCAAAAGAAGAGAAAGAGAGUGAGAAAGAGAAUUCUUCACGUCAUUCUCCUUUGAGUUUCCUCUCUCUCUCUUUGGUUUAGUCUCCCUCAUCCAGAACCUACAUCUAGGAUGAUAAUUUCUCUCCAAAUGACUUCCAUUUUUUUACAGUUUGGUUGAAAAUCUCUCUUAAGCCCCUCUUACUGCAUAAUCAUAUGCCCUAUAUACUCAAAUUUUAUGGUAGCUCCUAGUUAAAAACCAAAGCAAUUGAAGUCUCCUAAACUAAGCAAGAUCAGUUAAAGAAUGAUCUGUCUGUGUUAAAGCAAUAUCGAUAUGCUGAUAGAAUGUAAAACGAUGCAGCAAUGAGUAAUUUCUUAAAGAGAAAUUUUUUCAGUUUCCAUAAAGCUUAACUCAGGAUGCAAUAUUACACUGAGAUGCAUACUUCAAUCAGAAUACCAACUUCUGUGCAGAAUAUACUAGGACAAUUAGGUCCAUAUGGAAUUUAGGGAAUAAGUGUCCCCUUUUCAUCAAUGUAAUGAGAAAUAUUGGCUACUCAGGCCUGGAUCAGAAUGAGAUUAAUAACUUUGACUAGAACACUAAUCAAACUUUGUACCUAUCAAGUUGGUGAUUUCUAUUGCCUGCUUCACAUCACCCAUCAAUACACUAUAUAUUAAAAUGAAGCUUAGACGAAAUUAAAAACUCUUUUUCGAAUUGCUUAUUUGAUUUUUCUAUAAUUUUAGAAUUUUGAAUUUUUAAUGAAAUUAUUAGAGAAAACCCCUUGGCUUUCCUAUUUCAUUUAUGUUAGUGAAUAUAAAUUUUAGCGGCCUUACUUAUUAUUUUAUUCUUUGGGUAUUUAACAAGGAGAGGAUUUAUUAUUUCUUUUGAUUGUUGGUAGGUUAUUUUUAAUUUCUCAAGUGGUAUAACCAUUGGCACUCUUUGGCUUCCUAUUCUUUUUUGACAUCAAAAUGUAUAUUAGAGUUAUUUUCAUUACUUUUCGUUAAUUACUUUCUAAUGGAUUCCAGGAAAUUAUUCUUUUAUUUUUAUUUAUUUAUU
Molecule: unclassified non-coding RNA, 1165 nt
Filed under: Hevea brasiliensis (rubber tree)
Lineage: Eukaryota; Viridiplantae; Streptophyta; Magnoliopsida; Malpighiales; Euphorbiaceae
Source: RNAcentral